RNAcentral lists this long non-coding RNA (983 nucleotides) under Microcebus murinus (gray mouse lemur). RNAcentral's name for it is "lncRNA (ENSMICG00000048620.1)". The record is from RNAcentral. Lineage: Eukaryota; Metazoa; Chordata; Mammalia; Primates; Cheirogaleidae.
CGCCCCCAGCCCGAGUGGUCCUCCCGUCUCUGCAGACACGCUGGGCCUCUCCCAGCUCCAGGCCUCUGCGGGCACAGGUCCCGCUGCCUGGGACACGCUGCCUGGGACACGCUCUCUCCCCUUCCCAGGGCGGCUUCUCCUCCUCCAGGUCUCAGCUGAGACGUCACGCCCUCAGAGAGCCCCCAGCAGCCUGACCCACCCGAACGCCCUUGUCGUGUGUGACGGGAUCUUGCUCGCUGCCUCCUCUGCUGGUUUGUCCUGUCCCCCCAGAAGGUCAGCUCCCCGAGGGGCAGGCCCGCCCGCCCCAUUCGUGCUGUGCCCCCAGACCGAGCACGGUGCCCGGCAAGUCCCUGUCCGCUGGGCGAAUGCUCUGGAUGCACCUGGGCGUGGCCAAAUGCCCGCCUUUGCCGAAGGCUGCAGUGACCUCACUGCCCAAGGAGAGGUCCUGAAACAGCGGGUGCCUAAUAGGUAUCCGUGGAGGCACCCACGAGGCACGCACGCGUCCCCCCAGCUCCCGAGGCAGGGCCACUGUUCCUUCCACUUUAUGACGGAUGGAAGUGAAACUGAGCACGACCUUAGCUGGGAAGUGGACAAUCGGGGCCUGGUGACAACAGUGACAACGGUGGGGUCAGUGUGAGGGUGAAAUGAGGAGUCACCUGCUCAGCACUUUGGGAACUCCACUGCCCCGAGAGUGGGGCCAUCAAGGUCCUGACCCGACCUCGUGCUUCCCAGACAAAGAACUGAGGCCACAAAGGUCGGGGGACCCCCGUGAGGACACGCAGCCGCUGAGGCCUCUCCACUGCCAGGUCCUAGCAGGCGGCCCCGCAGGGGCAAGAGGGCACAGUGUCGUGUCCACACGCAGCGUUCAAACCCCAGCCAUGACACUCAUUGGCUGUGUGGCAUUGGACAUGUCACUCUACCUCUCUGAGCAUCAGUUUUCUCUUUGAAAUAGGGAGAGGUCUAACCCGAUGAGCCAACUAAUG